Molecule: long non-coding RNA, 392 nt
Organism: Lagenorhynchus albirostris (white-beaked dolphin)
Lineage: Eukaryota; Metazoa; Chordata; Mammalia; Artiodactyla; Delphinidae
Exons: 2
Source: RefSeq, a predicted model, not a curated record
UCCAAAGUCACUGGAGAACCUUCCAUGACAGUUACAUUAGAUAAGAGCCUGGAGAAAUUAGGGGCCUGGCCAGCUAGGCUGACCAUGCUGUUCUUUGCUGAGAUCUCAAAGUCAACCUCAGAGAGACAACUUGAGAAGACCUGCAGUGAGUGACAGCUGGGGCCCUGGCUCUGGCCUUACAGAACUUGAAACUGUUUGUCUGCUGAAGCUCAGCACAGCCCUGUCCCAUGACUAAGGAAUCGCUGUAAACCGACCUCCAGCCUCUGAGUGAGAGGUGACAGACCUUGCGACACAGAAGAGAGAAAGCCCUGGUUCUCAUCUCUCAUGAUGCAGUCUCGACUGGAUCCACGUCUUUCCAAUCAUGAUCUGAGGAGUCUUCCCCUGCCAGCAAA